This 458-nucleotide ribosomal RNA is filed under the name uncultured Verrucomicrobiota bacterium. RNAcentral describes it as "bacterial SSU rRNA". It matches the Rfam family "Bacterial small subunit ribosomal RNA", at positions 148 to 620 of the family's 1533-position model. Lineage: Bacteria; Pseudomonadati; Verrucomicrobiota. The record is from RNAcentral.
UCGCCGAAAGGCGAAUUAAUACCGCAUAUGACAAGGGAAGACAUCUUUCCGAAGUCAAAGUCGCAAGACGCUUCCUGAUGAGCUCGCGGCCUAUCAGCUAGUUGGUGAGGUAACGGCUCACCAAGGCAAUGACGGGUAGCUGGUCUGAGAGGACGACCAGCCACACUGGAACUGAGACACGGUCCAGACACCUACGGGUGGCAGCAGUCGAGAAUUUUUCACAAUGGGGGAAACCCUGAUGGAGCGACGCCGCGUGGAGGAUGAAGGUCUUCGGAUUGUAAACUCCUGUCAUGCGAGAACAAGAAAGUGAUAGUAUCGCAAGAGGAAGAGACGGCUAACUCUGUGCCAGCAGCCGCGGUAAUACAGAGGUCUCAAGCGUUGUUCGGAUUCAUUGGGCGUAAAGGGUGCGUAUGUGGCGUGGAAAGUUGAGUGUGAAAUCCUAGGGCUUAACCUUAGAA